GACGAACGCUGGCGGCGCGCUUAACACAUGCAAGUCGAACGGAAAGGCCUGCUUUCCCUUGUGGAUUGCGGGUACUCGAGUGGCGAACGGGUGAGUAACACGUGAGUGAUCUGCCCCCAACUUGGGUAUAAGCCUGGGAAACUGGGUCUAAUUCCCGAUAGGACUGCAGGGUGGUGCCUGUGGUGGAAAACGAUUUUCUAGUGGUUGGGGAUGAGCUCGCGGCCUAUCAGCUUGUUGGUGGGGUAAUGGCCUACCACGGCGGCGACGGGUAGCCGGCCUGAGAGGGUGGACGGCCACAUUGGGACUGAGAUACGGCACAGACUCCUACGGGAGGCAGCAGUGGGGAAUAUUGCACAAUGGGCGGAAGCCUGAUGCAGCGACGCAGCGUGGGGGAUGACGGCCUUCGGGUUGUAAACUCCUUUCGACCGCGAGGAAGCCACCUGGUUGGAAGGGUGGUGACGGUAGUGGUAGAAGAAGCACCGGCUAACUACGUG
This 494-nucleotide ribosomal RNA is filed under the name uncultured bacterium. RNAcentral's name for it is "partial 16S ribosomal RNA". It matches the Rfam family "Bacterial small subunit ribosomal RNA", at positions 28 to 507 of the family's 1533-position model. The record is from RNAcentral.